RNAcentral lists this long non-coding RNA (217 nucleotides) under Manihot esculenta (cassava). RNAcentral describes it as "long non-coding RNA (MESC_LNC001761)". Lineage: Eukaryota; Viridiplantae; Streptophyta; Magnoliopsida; Malpighiales; Euphorbiaceae. The record is from RNAcentral.
GCCACUGUAUAAUUUCCUAAUUGACAUCCUAAUUUCUUCCAAAAAAGCCGAAGUUGAUUCAAACAUAGAUUCCUUUUCAACAUAUAUAAGCCAUCAUGCAGUUUAUCAUUGCCAAUCCUCUUCCCAAUUUGAAGGUCUUGAAUAACACAAUGGUUAGGAAAAAUUUAAUUUUACAGUUAAGUGCUUGGUGAGAGCACUAACCGAUAAAAGAUUAAUA